CAAGACCUGCGGGAGGGGAGCAUCAAUAGAUUCCAUAAAAUGUGACGUCUCAAAUCUUCAUAAAGAUUAUCUCCCGAGGUAUUAACUUCAGUGUAUCAUUGGAUUUAAGCGUUACAUAUACAUCUAUCCAACUACAUACGUAUACCAUGUUAAAAUUAAGUUUGGGUGUGGAUUAUGUGCUCAAACAGUGUAUUACUAAAAUGUCGCUCAUCCUUUUUAUCGUCCUGGCAUCAACCAUUUUUUGUCCUAUUGACGCCCAUCCCUUGAAUAAUACGGAUUUUCCAGAUAAUGACGAUAGAAUCAACGUGAUUCCGAAUCCUCCGGGCGUGGCAAUGAAUCCUCUGAAAGUGCUACAUCGACAGAAAAGGGGAGACCCAUGCUACGACGGGACAUGGAAAGGAGCGGUAGGAGGGGCGGUCGUUGCUGGAGUGCCCGGUGCCUAUGUGGGAGGUCAAUGGGGCGCUUUCGCUGGUACCCUCAUGUUCCCUGGCCUCGGGACGGCCGUAGGGGGCGCCGUGGGCGCAUUCAUCGGCGGCCUCGCGGCAGGCGCAACGGCCGCCGCCGGUGGUGCAGUGGGGGGCGCCGUCACCGGCGCCGCUUCCAGUUGUCUUUGAAUAAGAGUCCUGUCAACACCUUUGAUACCGGCAGAUCUGGCAUCUUGCUGUGUGCUCCGAAGUUUACUUACGAGAUUUAUACACAUCAGCACAGCGUACAAACUUUAUUCCUACUCAUUUCUGGAGUAUUCAUCAAAUCUGGGAGGGUUCCUUUGUAGCAACCUUCAAACUACGACUUUGUACAGAUGAUUAGGUACCUACUAUUUGCCUUUAAGGUCAUUCUAUUGGACCAGAAAUUAAUUUGUGGACCUUGAUCUCAUUUAGUAAAAUAAGUGUCAUUGUAUUAAUCCUACAAUGGACUAUAUAAUGGCAAAUUUUAACAGGCGGAUAAAACGCGCCCUAGAGAAAUGUUUAUACUUAUACUUAACUUUUCUGAUUCAGGCUAAGUUGACGUUACCUAUUAUUUGGUACUGUAAAAUGCUGAUGGUCGCAGUGAAACUUUAGUAAAGAAUACACAAGAGUAGAGUAAAAGAAUAAAAAUUUGCUGUCUCAGCAUUAAUUUGUAAGAGGCUUUUGGCGAAUCUUGAAAAGGCCAUGGUCAAUUUUGGCAAAAACAGAAUUGAACUCAUGUUGUGCAAAUCUGGGGUCUAUCCGACGAUGUAAAUAUAAUUGAUGUGUCAUUAAUGUAGGUACUCAGAUAGUAUAUUAAUCACUUCUUUGUAAAGAUAUUUUGUUAAACAAAUUCUUGUUGUUUAAUUUUUUAAAAAAAAUAGAAUAAUAAAAAAAGUGUGAGGCUACGGAGCAAUUAUUUAUUUCCCUUGCCUCAUCUCCUAGCCUACAAUGAGCUGCCAAAAGAAAUCCAAGCGAAUCAAAUGGAAUAAGCAAUUCAGUAUUGAAAGGAACUUAAAAGUAAAAAAAAAAUAAAUUAAAAAAAGAGCUCUAUUAGUAACGUUUAAAAUAAUUCAGUCUGACAUAUUUUAGAGUUUUAACGGGACAAUAUUGCUCAUUCCUUAUCUUUAAUUUGAUUUUCAAAUUGUCUUUCCUUUCUUAUGCAUCCAGCUCACAGUUAAUUACCUGCUUUUUCCAUUAGUUUCAGAUUCGUUUUCAUUUCUUUGGAUUUUGCACAUAUUCUGAUCUUAAGUAUUUACAAAAGAUAUAUUCAAUUAAAAAAAAAGGGGGGGGGGGUCUUGAAAUAACCUGGUGAAAGAGAAUUUCUCACAAUUCCAUAAAUGAAUUCUGUUGAAACGCCCAACACCUAGAAUUUUUACACAUUUUUUGGUGAUGAAAUGGAGAAGCUCAUUUAAUUUUUGAUGCAUGAUUUUACAUCUGCAGGAGUAUCACAGGAUAUCAUCGAUUAAAAAUCUUAAAAAACCUUUAUUUUUCCUUGUGCUUAGUAUUCUGAUCAAUAUAAAAGAGAGAAGUACACAAAAGCAACUAAAAAACCAGAAAAUACAAGAUUCUUUCAUAAAAACGUGAAAAAAUAUAGAUUUGACAGAUUUUAACACUUAGCAACUAUGAAAAAUGACACAUAAAAAUGAGAGUUUACAGGUGUAAAGUUAUUUACUACACCACAAAAAAAUAAAAUUAAAGCUCGCAAAUAGAAAUAGAGCAUAUCAUCCUGUAAAAUAUUUAUAAAAUUUGACACACGCUGAUGUAAAAAUUCUACUUGCCUCAACAUUAUAUACGUGAGCAUCUCUUUAUGGUAGGAAUCUUGAGGUGAAACAUCGCCAUUUAUACCACCACUUCUUACAGAAAAACUGAACUACAUUUUUUCUGUUACCUCUGUUUUACCUCUUCUUACGAAUUAGACUCAUCAAUAGCUAGAGUCUAAAAAUGUGUAUCUCCAGUUGAAAAGUCACAAACCUAUAACAUUUUUUGAAAUUUCCCUCAUUCAAAGUAUCGGGCAGAUCGUCUCGUGGAUCACAUCCGUCCAUACUCUCUGAAAAAAGGUACUUUAAAAUAUCCAUUGGAAAUUUCAAGAAGCUACUUUGGUAAGAUCCCUCUUAAAAAUGAAACAAAAUCUGAGAUUUUUUAGGUAACAGAGUUGUACAUUUGUUGACUUCAGCCAUCACUCUGCAUUUAAUCUGGAUAUUUGCCAUCAGGAUUUUGACAGUAAAUACACAAAUAUUAAGAAUAAAAUCGCUAAAAUUUAAAAAUUCAAUCUUUCCUUGCUUAAUUAUGUAUCUGCUAAUAGACAAAAUAUACCCAUUGUAGGAAGUAUUCAACUACAUGACUUUUCUUUGCUUCAAUUUAACUAAUUUUACUUUAACUUUGAUAAUAGUUUUAGUUUAAAUACUUGAAAUGUUUGUACAUUUUAGGUAUAACACAGCAUACAGGUAUUAAAUGCUAAUCAAAGGUUUAGGAACAAUCAACUUACACAAAAAAAGAACUUAGGUAAAAAAUACUUCAUCUGAUGAUGGGUCAUGGAAAAACUAUAGGCUCUAUCAUCAAUUUGAGAUUCGUCUUCUUAAAAUAUUAAUAAAAAAUGUUUGGAAACUUCAAGAAAAUAACGACAGACAGCUUUCUAACAGGGACACAAAAAUUCUGGAUCAUGGGAAUCUAAAUUUCAUGUGACAUAAUAAAAGGCAGGCAAAACUUAAAGAGCCUAAGUUUUUUUUUUUUAAAAAAAAAAACAAAACGUAACAGUAUUGCAAAUGCUCCUGUGUACUUUUGAAAUUUUUACUUGAUAUUUUGAAUUUUCAAAUAAAAAGUUCGGAAGCUUUUCCUCAGAGCUCCAAGAUGAUAUGAGAGGAAAACACCGUCUGCAUCCCUGUCUUCACUUAAAAGUAAAGACAAAAUACAUAGAAAUACAAAAUUCCCUUGUCAACAAUUUUUGGAAAAGAAAAUUGAAAUUUCACUAUCACACUACAACAGUGAAUAUAAUUGAGCAACUGUACGAAAACUAUGAAAAUUGAGAAAGGUUUCGGAAAUUGAAAUUGGACAUAAAUAACUUCGACCAAGAACAUUUUAAAAAACCAAGAAACAAACAAACCAACGAACAAAUAAAGAAGGGAAGAAAAAAAGAAACAAACAAACAAAGAAACAAAGAAAUGAACAAACAAACGAGCAAGCAAGACAAUAAAAUUCUGACAAGUUAACUUAGCAUAAAACACAGUUUUAUGCGGCACAAAUUCACAAUAACCAUAAUUUAAUUGUAAAUCAACAAUGACAUUAUUUUCUAUUCAAUAAUUUGAAUUAAUUAAAAUUACAAGAUUAAAAAACUGCUAGAGCUCUUUUAAACAUUAAAAGAAAAGACAACCUAAGAGAAUACUCCAAAAAAAAAACCUUCAGUCAAUCAAAACAUUAACCUCGGAGGUCUUCGUAGCAAACUUUUUGUGCAAUUUUAAGCAAACUAGUUUUCAAAAAUUUAGUGUCAUAAUUGCUGAGAUCCUGAUGAUAGUAUAAUGUUUACCUUGUCUUGAUUAAAAUUAUUAGAAAUGAUUCCCUACUCUACUGAGACUUCCCUUCAGUUCUAAGCUUUCCUUCAAAUUCAAUUGGUCUUCCCCCAAUUCAAUCAACCUUCUCCAUUUUAGAUCAAAACUCAUGAUUGCUUCCCCCAGAGGAAAAAAAUAAACCUUAUUUUAGGUGAGGCUCCCUGUUUUUGUCUCAUCUUCAUAGAGGCUUUCCUAUUACUUCCUGUUCUCACAGCGGUUUCCCCCACUUUUCACACGACUGAGCUGGUCCCAUGGCCGGAAAAUGUUUGCACCCCUAUGUUAUGCCCUAUGAGCCUAAAAAUACCCUUUUUCAGUCUAGCUCAUUUAAUUUCCUAUUGACUACAGGGAAUGGGUAGUGCGUGAGUAUCAAGUGUCUCUGGUGGCUUUAAUAUGAGGUAAAGAAACAGACAGAAGAGUAUUACUAAAGGGUAAUAGGAAGUAUGAAAAUAUUGAAAUUUUUUAGUUACGUAAUUCAUGUAGAGCUUAUAUCUAAUGGAAGAGGCACUUAAAUAGUUUCAUGAUGUCUUAACAUUUACUUGAAAAAUCAUACCUUCCUGCAACUUGUACGGCUAGAACUCAUCCUGUAGGAACUCAUGUGGGGAAAAUGUUGCUCUAAAUGUACUGGCCAAUAAAAUAUACUGGACAGAGAGCCUCUGUAUUGGGUGUUAUUGUGUGCUGAGGACCAUAAUUAUCAGCCGAAGCUUCUGAAAUUGAAGGCAGUCGGGCUAGAACUGUUGCUUGAGCAAAUUCACUGAGACCGCUACUAGCUUGAGGCCCUAAGGGACAGAAAAAGAGACAAACACCUCUAGAAUAAAAUAUAUUUUAGGGAUAAUGAAAACUGCCAGUCUUCAGCAUUAAAUAUACAGUUAUUGAGUGACAUUUUGUUUAAUUAUGAUAAUAUUAUACAGUCUCCUUUAGAAUAAAGUGAUAUACCUGAUGUGAAUUGAUCACACUGAAGAAAAGUAACUCUUUUGU
This 4963-nucleotide long non-coding RNA is filed under the name Bemisia tabaci. RNAcentral describes it as "lncRNA ENSSSA1NGG009259". The record is from RNAcentral. Lineage: Eukaryota; Metazoa; Arthropoda; Insecta; Hemiptera; Aleyrodidae.